Non-coding RNA from Camellia sinensis, 618 nucleotides. Lineage: Eukaryota; Viridiplantae; Streptophyta; Magnoliopsida; Ericales; Theaceae. The record is from RefSeq and is a predicted model, not a curated record.
GUGGCAGCCCAUUGCAAAAUGAGGGAAAAGCUUUAUCUUCUUGCUUUUGGGUAUUACAGAAGUAGUGAAUAUCGAAGGAGCAGGCAGCUUGCAGAACAAUGUUGGUUCAAAAUAUGAGUAAAGAAGAGUUCUUGAAGAUCCAGUCCUGCAAUUCUUAGGUUUCUUGCUUGUGCAUUUCCUGGAGUAGCUGAUCACUAGAAUUUAAGUUCGAAGAGUACAAAGAGGUUAAGAAAUGCUAUCCUCAUGGAUUUCAUGGAGUUGAUAAGUAUGGAAGACCACUGUACAUAGAAAGGGUUGGAAUGGUAGAUCUUAAUGCCUUUUUGCAAAUAACUACUAUCGAUAGAUUUAUGAAGUAUCACGUGUUUGAACAAGAGAAAACAUUGAAUUGGAGAUACCCUGCAUGCUCGGUAUCAGCAAAGAAGCAUAUAGCUUCCACCACAAGCAUCUUAGAUGUGAAGGGUGUGGGUCUCUCUAAUUUCUCAAAGCUUGCAAGGAAUAUCUUCACAAAAGUUCAAAAGAUUGACAGCAAUUAUUAUCCUGAGGUAUGUAGAAAAUGCCUUGAAAACUGCUAUUCAACAGCAGUGGAUAGGGUUCUAUCAUAUGUAAACUAGAACAGCA